GAUCCUGGAGCUGCGGUGGAGCGAGCUUUCUGCCCCCGGCACACCUCGAGCUGCCUUGGCAGUCUUCACGGCAGAAUUGUUUGGCAGGAAAUAAUUCAGACUAAUGUAUCCCCCUGUGCUCCUAAAAUUGUAUGGAAUUUAAAAUGCUAAAUGAACUAAAUCAUUCUAAGUGUGCAAGCAAUGUAGUUGUGAAGAGAGGCAAAGUAUGCCUGCCGGUUCCAAUGCUUUUCAGCUAUAAUUCUUGAAACCAUCUAGCUUCAAAACAGAGCGAGCUGAGAAGCAGAGAAGCCGCACCAACAAAGAACUGCUUCAGGCUCUAAAAAGGGACAGCAAACUUAGGACUUUCAAAGGACAGAAACAGUUGGAAUGGCUGAAUUCCUGUCCCCUCAGACAAACACAGUGUCCCAUGCUACCAGGAAGGCCCCAGUUGCUGACAUGGGCAUGAUAAAAGUGCCUUGCCACUUCUUGGUCUGUGAUUGACCCAACCAACAAGCAAGAGAACACAUACAGCAAAAGAAAACAGAUGAACAAGAUAUCUAGAGAAGCAAAAGUGGUAACUGAGAAGAAACUUUUCAAGAGGCUGCACUGGGAAAGGGAAGAUGAAACGUAUGAGAGCAGGAAAUCUGGAGCUGCGCCAAGGACCUUUUCAAAACACAGCACCUGCCCAGGUGUUUGCUGGGAGCUGCAGCUUUGUCUAAAAUGGAGAGUGAGGCCUUCUGAUAGUGCUGAAAAUAACUACUCCACUCGACUGUUGCCUGGCUGUUGAGUGCUAUCCCAUCUGUACAACUAGGAAGAACUGCAUGUAACAUGCAUACCUGACCUCCAGGCAAGCUAACCUGAGCCUCCAAGGUGUUAACCAUAGCUUGACAACUCUUUUGAGUUAAAUUCCCU
Hirundo rustica (Barn swallow) is the source of this 891-nucleotide long non-coding RNA. RefSeq lists it as uncharacterized. The transcript is spliced from 3 exons. The record is from RefSeq and is a predicted model, not a curated record. NCBI's taxonomy places the organism in Eukaryota, Metazoa, Chordata, Aves, Passeriformes, Hirundinidae.